UGCAUCAGACAUUCAUGCGUGUUGCUACGGCGCCGUCCUCGGCACUGCCGCACGUUCCAUGCAAUCGCCGGCGGAUCUCCGUCGAGUCUAUCGCCCAACCACCGUUGUUGUCCCUCGUCAGAUGCCUAUGAUCCUGGGUGGUAGCACGAUCAAAAUUGCUAAUCAGAUCCAUGGACAAAGAGAUGCCAUUAAUUCCAAAUCCCCUAUUAUCUAGAUCAUGUACGUAGAUACAAAAACUGAUUAGUACUGGAUAUUUCACCAGAAAGAAAUCUGCCAAGCCGCUCAAGAUCCAAAAGUGCAGCUGGGCGGCGGCCAUGCGACAAACUAAUUAAAAUACUCAUGAUUUCAAAGGGCAGGAAAAUAGUAGUGUUUGUUACGGCCAAACGGGUUGAUAAAUAAACACUAGCUUGGAAACCCGUUUAGAAAAGCACACAUCUUAACAAAUCCAGUGAUAGAAAAUGUGGAGGUAACUACCACUAAGUGAUAGGAAGAAUUUUCCCGGAUUAACACUAUUCCUGCCACAACAUCCUCCCGAACUCCGAAUCGUCAGGGAAAAGAAAAAAAACACCGCUGCCCCGACCCGCUACCCAACCCUCCCGCCUCCUCCCCCGAGCGCCUCACCCCGCCGCCGCCCUCGAAUCCCGCCGCCGCACAUGCCCUCACCGGAACCCGCCGCUGCGUGCGCCCUCGCCGAAACCCGCCGCUGUGCGCGCCCUCGCGGGAACCCCCGCCGCCACGAGCCCCCUGCCGCCGUGCGCCCUCCCCGGACGCCCCGCCGCAGCCCGCCCUCCCCGGACCCCCGGGCCGCCGUGCCACCACCGGGAUCCAAUCGCCAACGAGAGCCUCUCCGCGACCCCCCGCCCAGUUGUGGUCGUCGCCUGAUGCCUCGAUGCCGCCGAACGCCGUCUUCCUUCCGGCAUCCACGCGCCGUCCGAGCGCCGCCGUGCCUUCUCGCACCAGUGCGUCACCCCCGGUCUCCUCCCGCCAUGCCCCUCUCCUGCUAGCAGUCCGGACGGAACCCCUGACUAGUUAGGUUGGCCCAGGCGAGGCUCCACCGCCGCCGCGCAGCCUCCUCCCGGUGGGGCUCCACAACCGCAGCACGAAGGGCGUUCAUUGGAGCCACCUCUGGCCGUUCAAGUACGCAGCCCGUUCAAGUACGCAGCCCCUGGAGGUACAACAGCCACAGCUUGUGGAAAUUACUGCAGCAACGUUCAUCGUCUCCACCUCGUACAUUUGAUUUUGUACCCUUUUGUCAUUUUUCACCCAUGUUAUUUCAGCAAGAUGGUUGUUGAAUGCUUGACCUGCUAUGGUACUACAAUAGGGAGGCCAAAAUUGAACUUCACCAAAAUCUAGAAAAAACAGGAUGAGGAAGGGCGCAGCCAAGUCCAAUGUGUUCUCGUGUUGAUGAAGUAAUUCAAGGAGCAGGUGGUUUCAUUCGUAUGAAGCACCAACAAUAAAAUCUUCAUCCCCAUGUUUGUUUCUUGUUUUAUUUCAAGCUGCCACUAACCAUUGGCAUUUUUUGUCUGAUGCUCCACGUCUUGUAAGUGUCCACUAAAAAAACAGAAUUUUAUGCAAUACCAGCAAACAGUAAGUGCGAACUUCUCCGUUUACAUUCAUCUAAAGAAGUACGUAUUUUUUAAAGUAAUCUGGAAGUUAAAAGAUUAUAGUCUAGAGAGUUCAAUCAUUGGAUUUUGGGAAGAAUUCAUCUUACUGAUAAAUAAUGAAUAGAGAAAAAAAUUACAAAAUAGGUUUUGGGCCAGUACUAAAUAGGUUAGGAAUUGUUUGGCGUUGGUGGGGUGUUGGAGCGUUACUACUACUUGGUUCACUUCCAUUUCAAGGGUCUUGCUUGAAGAUAUCUUUGAAGCCAUAAACACAGUUGUUUUGAUUUCAAAUUGCGGUCCAUGGGUUGAGCUAUGAAGCUGAAGUUGUUGUUAUGCUUCUGAAUAUCUACUCUUUCCUGUAGGUGUUGAUCCUGGUGCUUGUCGCCAUUCACGAGGAAAGAUAGUCGGUCUUUGAACGGGUGGGUGAUCUUGCUGUUGCUGGGAUACUAUUCAACAUGGGGAUUCGAUCUCCCUUGAGGUGCAGUGUAGCAUGAUAUAUGCUGCUGCCUCUUUUGGAUUUAUUGUUGAGAUGGUCGCUCAAGCUCAAUAUUGAUUAGUCCUUCCCCUAGAUCUUUCCCUACAUGCUCUAUAGGUCAUCAGUAAGAACAAAAAGUAUGCCUCUAAGCUGCCUGUGUUUAUUCCCCAAAAUAUAAGUUAGUAUGGCUGCACACGGUCAACUGUUUUUGACCAGUUUCUGUAGUAAUUUGUAUGGCCGACAAUUUUCAGCAGUAAUUAACAUGGCUGCGGUCCAUUGUGUUUGAUUUUCAACAGGCCAACUUGAUUAA
Aegilops tauschii subsp. strangulata is the source of this 2386-nucleotide non-coding RNA. Lineage: Eukaryota; Viridiplantae; Streptophyta; Magnoliopsida; Poales; Poaceae. The record is from RefSeq and is a predicted model, not a curated record.